UGCCCGGAGAGGUCUCGCACGACCCCCUGCCUACAUACCUCGUCUGGAACGAGGAUCAGGGCGAUGUAGUUCCCCUGAAAGGGACUAAAUUGCUAACCAGAAACCGGGGAAAGAUACACAACUAGGGAGCUGAGACUCGAGCCUAAUGUUGUCAUGCAUCGUUUACCCUAAGUUCGGUUUUCUAUCCUACUUGCAUAAGCAAACUAACCUAACCAGGAAAGAAGCUAGCACACAAGCAU
RNAcentral lists this long non-coding RNA (239 nucleotides) under Lathyrus oleraceus (garden pea). Its description in RNAcentral is "Pisum sativum (pea) long non-coding RNA (PSAT_LNC021519)". The record is from RNAcentral. Lineage: Eukaryota; Viridiplantae; Streptophyta; Magnoliopsida; Fabales; Fabaceae.